GAAUAUUGGACAAUGGGGGAAACCCUGAUCCAGCAAUGCCGCGUGUGUGAAGAAGGCCUGCGGGUUGUAAAGCACUUUCAGUAGGGAGGAAAAGCCUCGGGAUAAUACCCCGGAGUCUUGACGUAACCUACAGAAGAAGCACCGGCUAACUCCGUGCCAGCAGCCGCGGUAAUACGGAGGGUGCAAGCGUUAAUCGGAAUUACUGGGCUUAAAGCGCGCGUAGGCGGUUUGGUCAGUCGGAUGUGAAAGCCCCGGGCUUAACCUGGGAAUUGCAUUCGAUACUGCCUGACUAGAGUGUGGAAGAGGAAGGUGGAAUUCCAGGUGUAGCGGUGAAAUGCGUAGAUAUCUGGAGGAACAUCAGUGGCGAAGGCGGCCUUCUGGUCCAACACUGACGCUGAGGUGCGAAAGCGUGGGGAGCAAACAGG
Molecule: ribosomal RNA, 425 nt
Filed under: uncultured bacterium
Lineage: Bacteria
Description: bacterial SSU rRNA
Rfam family: Bacterial small subunit ribosomal RNA
Source: RNAcentral